AACGAACGCUGGCGGCAGGCUUAACACAUGCAAGUCGAACGAGCUGGGGGCUUCGGUCUCCGAUGCUAGUGGCGCACGGGUGAGUAACACGCGGGAAUAUGCUCUUUAGUACGGAAUAACCAAGGGAAACUUUGGCUAAUACCGUAUACGCUCUUCGCGUGAAAGAUUUAUUGGUAAAGGAUUAGCCCGCGUUUGAUUAGGUAGUUGGUGAGGUAAUGGCUCUUCAAGCCGACGUUCAGUAGCUGGUCUGAGAGGAUGAUCAGCCACACUGGGAGUGAGACACGGACCAGACUCCUACGGGAGGCAGCAGUGGGGAAUAUUGGACGAUGGGGGCGAGCCUGAUCCAGCCAUGCCGCGUGAGUGAGGAAGGCCUUCGGAUUGUAAAGCUCUUUCGACGGGGACGAUGAUGACGGUACCCGUAUAAGAAGCCCCGGCAAACUUCGUG
This 445-nucleotide ribosomal RNA is filed under the name uncultured bacterium. RNAcentral's name for it is "partial 16S ribosomal RNA". It matches the Rfam family "Bacterial small subunit ribosomal RNA", at positions 29 to 507 of the family's 1533-position model. The record is from RNAcentral.